ACUCUUCCUCAUUUUAAAUUUUGUAGAUAAAACUGUUCGUUUGUGUUUUUCAGGUUAUUGGAAUUGGAGAGAAGCGAGGAAUGUCUUACUCUAAUGCUGUGUUUGGUUGGGGGAUUUGGAGAGGGAUUUGGAAAGAGAAAUGGAAACGGUGCAACAACUUAGGAAAGAACUAGGUGACAUUCAGUCCGAGUACGCGAGACUGGUGGCUGAAUCGGAAUCAAUGAACAUAGUUAAGGAUGAGAAAACUAUAAAUGGAUAAUUUCUUUGGAUUUUAUUUUUUGUGGUAAAUAACCUGAUGUUUUGUACAUUGUUAUCACAAAAUCUAUAUAUCAUUUUGGAGUACUAAAUAGUUGAACACGUCAUAGUUUUGGUUCGGGAGUUUCUAAAUACACCAUUUUGUACAAUUGGGUGCAGAGAGAUA
Camellia sinensis is the source of this 421-nucleotide non-coding RNA. The record is from RefSeq and is a predicted model, not a curated record. Lineage: Eukaryota; Viridiplantae; Streptophyta; Magnoliopsida; Ericales; Theaceae.